CCUACGGGAGGCAGCAGUGGGGAAUUUUGGACAAUGGGCGCAAGCCUGAUCCAGCUAUUCCGCGUGUGGGAUGACGGCCUUCGGGUUGUAAACCACUUUUGUAGAGAACGAAAAGUCUGUUGAUAAUACCGAUAGAUGAUGACGGUACUCUAAGAAUAAGCACCGGCUAACUACGUGCCAGCAGCCGCGGUAAUACGUAGGGUGCGAGCGUUAAUCGGAAUUACUGGGCGUAAAGGGUGUGCAGGCGGUUUUUCAAGAUGGAUGUGAAAGCCCCGGGCUUAACCUGGGAAAGGCAUACCUGACUGGAAGACUAGAGUGCGUCAGAGGGGGGUGGAAUUCCAGGUGUAGCAGUGAAAUGCGUAGAUAUUUGGAAGAACACCGAUGGCGAAGGCAGCCCCCUGGGACGCAACUGACGCUCAUACACGAAAGCGUGGGGAGCAAACAGGAUUAGAUACCCUUGUAGUC
Molecule: ribosomal RNA, 465 nt
Filed under: uncultured bacterium
Lineage: Bacteria
Description: partial 16S ribosomal RNA
Rfam family: Bacterial small subunit ribosomal RNA
Source: RNAcentral